This 468-nucleotide ribosomal RNA is filed under the name uncultured bacterium. Its description in RNAcentral is "partial 16S ribosomal RNA". It matches the Rfam family "Bacterial small subunit ribosomal RNA", at positions 28 to 507 of the family's 1533-position model. The record is from RNAcentral.
GACGAACGCUGGCGGCGUGCUUAACACAUGCAAGUCGAACGGAAAGGCCCUGCUUUUGUGGGGUGCUCGAGUGGCGAACGGGUGAGUAACGCGUGAGUAACCUGCCCUUGACUUUGGGAUAACUUCAGGAAACUGGGGCUAAUACCGGAUAGGAGCUCCUGCUGCAUGGUGGGGGUUGGAAAGUUUCGGCGGUUGGGGAUGGACUCGCGGCUUAUCAGCUUGUUGGUGGGGUAGUGGCUUACCAAGGCCUUGACGGGUAGCCGGCCUGAGAGGGUGACCGGCCACAUUGGGACUGAGAUACGGCCCAGACUCCUACGGGAGGCAGCAGUGGGGAAUAUUGCACAAUGGGCGGAAGCCUGAUGCAGCAACGCCGCGUGCGGGAUGACGGCCUUCGGGUUGUAAACCGCUUUCGCCUGUGACGAAGCGUGAGUGACGGUAAUGGGUAAAGAAGCACCGGCUAACUACGUG